UGAAUACGAGACGCUAAGGCGUCGAAGUAGUGUAUGUCAUACUUCCAAGAAAAGCUUGCACUGUCAUAGAUAAAAAACGCCUGUACCAUAACCGACACAGGUGGGUAGGUAGAGUAUACUAAGGGGCGCGAGAUAACUCUCUCUAAGGAACUCGGCGAAAUAACUCCGUAACUUCGGGAGAAGGAGUGCCUUAUUCGUAAGGUUGCAAUAACAAGAUCCAAGCAACUGUUUAUCAAAAACACAGGUCUCCGCUAAGUCGUAAGACGAUGUAUGGGGGCUGACGCCUGCCCAGUGCCAGAAGGUUAAAAAAGUUGGUUAGCAAUUGCGAAGCUGAUAACUGAAGCCCUGGUGAACGGCGGCCGUAACAAUAACGGUCCUAAGGUAGCGAAAUUCCUUGUCGGGUAAGUUCCGACCCGCACGAAAGGCGUAAUGAUUUGGAUACUGUCUCGGAGAGGGGCUCGGUGAAGUAGACUUGUCUGUGAAGAUGCGGACUACCUGCACCAGGACAGAAAGACCCUAUGAAGCUUUACUGUAACUUGAAAUUGAAAUUGGACUUUAUUCGCGCAGUAUAGGUGGGAGGCGUUGAUUAUAAUCUUGUGGGAUUAUUGGAGCCAUCAGUGAGAUACCACUCUUGUAAUGUUAGAUUUCUAACUUUGAAUCAUUAUCCGGUCAAAGAACAGUUUCAGGCGGGCAGUUUGACUGGGGCGGUCGCCUCCUAAACGGUAACGGAGGCGUACAAAGGUUUCCUCUGAACGGUUAGAAAUCGUAUCUAGAGUGUAAAGGCAUAAGGAAGCUUGACUGUGAGACCUACAAGUCGAGCAGGGACGAAAGUCGGUCUUAGUGAUCCGACGGUACUGAGUGGAAAGGCCGUCACUCAACGGAUAAAAGUUACUCUAGGAUAACAGGCUGAUCUCCCCCAAGAGUUCACAUCGACGGGGAGGUUUGGCACCUCGAUGUCGGCUCAUCGCAUCCUGGGGCGGUAGUACGUCCCAAGGGUUGGGCUGUUCGCCCAUGAAAGCGGUACGCGAGCUGGGUUCAGAACGUCGUGAGACAGUUCGGUCCAUAUCCGGUGUAGGCGUUAGAAUAUUGAGAGGAGCCUUCUUUAGUACGAGAGGACCGAGAAGGACAUACCUCUGGUGUACCAGUUAUCGUGCCAACGGUAAACGCUGGGUAGCUAUGUAUGGAGUGGAUAACCGCUGAAAGCAUCUAAGUGGGAAGCCCACCUCAAGAUAAGUAUUCUCAGC
RNAcentral lists this ribosomal RNA (1244 nucleotides) under metagenome. RNAcentral's name for it is "bacterial LSU rRNA". It matches the Rfam family "Bacterial large subunit ribosomal RNA", at positions 1564 to 2818 of the family's 2925-position model. The record is from RNAcentral.